RNAcentral lists this ribosomal RNA (400 nucleotides) under uncultured bacterium. Its description in RNAcentral is "bacterial SSU rRNA". It matches the Rfam family "Bacterial small subunit ribosomal RNA", at positions 355 to 773 of the family's 1533-position model. The record is from RNAcentral.
UAACGAAUCUUCCGCAAUGCGCGAAAGCGUGACGGAGCAAUGCCGCGUGUAGGAUGAAGCCCUUCGGGGUGUAAACUGCUGUCGGGGUUUAGGAAGCAAGUGACCAAACCCGAAGGAAGAGACGACUAACUCUGUGCCAGCAGUCGCGGUAAUACAGGUCUCGAGCGUUAGUCGGAAUCACUGGGCUUAAAGCGUACGUAGGCGGAUGUGCAGGCGUCGUGUGAAAGCCCUCAGCUCAACUGAGGAACUGCACGGCGAACCGCACGUCUUGAGACAAGUAGGGGCGGUCGGAACGAUAGGUGGAGUGGUGAAAUGCGUAGAGAUCUGGAGGAAUACCGAUGGCGGAGGCAGCCAUCUGGCCUAACACUGACGCUGAGGUGCGAAAGCAUGGGGAGCAAAC